Molecule: ribosomal RNA, 434 nt
Filed under: uncultured bacterium
Lineage: Bacteria
Description: partial 16S ribosomal RNA
Rfam family: Bacterial small subunit ribosomal RNA
Source: RNAcentral
GAACGAACGCUGGCGGCAUGCCUAACACAUGCAAGUCGAACGAGACCUUCGGGUCUAGUGGCGCACGGGUGCGUAACGCGUGGGAACCUGCCCUUAGGUUCGGAAUAACUCCCCGAAAGGGGUGCUAAUACCGGAUAAUGUCUUCGGGCCAAAGAUUUAUCGCCUUUGGAUGGGCCCGCGUUGGAUUAGCUAGUUGGUAGGGUAAAAGCCUACCAAGGCGACGAUCCAUAGCUGGUCUGAGAGGAUGAUCAGCCACACUGGGACUGAGACACGGCCCAGACUCCUACGGGAGGCAGCAGUGGGGAAUAUUGGACAAUGGGCGAAAGCCUGAUCCAGCAAUGCCGCGUGAGUGAUGAAGGCCUUAGGGUUGUAAAGCUCUUUUACCCGGGAUGAUAAUGACAGUACCGGGAGAAUAAGCUCCGGCUAACUCCGUG